This 376-nucleotide ribosomal RNA is filed under the name uncultured bacterium. RNAcentral describes it as "bacterial SSU rRNA". It matches the Rfam family "Bacterial small subunit ribosomal RNA", at positions 524 to 898 of the family's 1533-position model. The record is from RNAcentral.
UACGGAGGGUGCAAGCGUUGUUCGGAAUUACUGGGCGUAAAGCGCGCGUAGGCGGUUUUAUAAGUCAGAUGUGAAAGCCCAUGGCUUAACCAUGGACGUGCAUUUGAAACUGUGAGACUUGAGUAUUGGAGGGGGUGGUGGAAUUCCCGGUGUAGAGGUGAAAUUCGUAGAUAUCGGGAGGAAUACCAGUGGCGAAGGCGACCACCUGGCCAAAUACUGACGCUAAUGUGCGAAAGCGUGGGGAGCAAACAGGAUUAGAUACCCUGGUAGUCCACGCCGUAAACGAUGUCAACUAGGUGUUGGGACGGUUAAUCGUCUCAUUGCCGCAGCUAACGCAUUAAGUUGACCGCCUGGGGAGUACGGUCGCAAGAUUAAA